GUUUUUGAUGAUCAGAGUCCAUGAUCUGUUGACUCCACUGGACGACAAAGAUCUUGAUGAAACGGUGACUCAGAUUCUGCGGCACCAUCCAAACUGUGGAUACAAAAUGAUGCUUGGGCACCUGAAUGCACAAGGCAUCCGCAUACAGAGGCAACGUGUGCAGGAAUCCAUGCAGCGCGUGGAUCCUCAUGGAGUUUUGAUGCGCACCCUUCAGCUAAACCCACGAAGGCGCAGGAGGUACUCUGUACCAGCACCAAACAGUUUGUGGCACAUCGAUGGCAAUCAUAAAUUGAUAAGAUGGCGUUUUGUCGUGCAUGGCGGUAUCGAUGGCUUUAGUCGUCUCAUUGUGUACCUGAAGGCCACCACCAACAAUCGCGCAGCAACAGUCCUGAGAAGCUUUCUAGAAGCUGUCAAUGUCUACGGUGUGCCAUCACGUGUGAGGUCAGAUAAAGGAGGGGAAAAUGUUGACGUUGCACGCUACAUGGUGGCUAAUAGAGGACUUGACAGGAAUUCACAUAUUGCUGGAAGGAGUGUCCAUAAUCAAAGGCUUCUGUUGUUUCUGCCUAUUGAGAAGACAUGCUGCAGUUCCUUUCCCCUUGCUGCUUUUGGUAGAUUUUGAGGGUCUAAGUCUAAUAGAGAGGCUCUGGAGAGACGUUUAUGUGGGAGCGCUUGAUCUGUUCUACACAAUCUUUACCAACCUUGAGAGAGAAGGCCUCCUAAAUCCGGACAACGAAGUGCACCUCUAUGCUCUACACUGGUGCUUCAUGUCUCACAUUCAGAGACGCCUUGAGAGUUUCCAGCAUGGCUGGAACUGCCACUGACUGAGAACUGAGGGAAAUCAGUCCCCACUUCAACUGUGGACUCGCCAUGAGCAUGAGGCACAGCAGGACCCCAUGCAGGUAAACAAAUGGCGAGGAGUCAGGAGUGUAACCAAGCCAGCAGGAGUGUAACCAAGACUCAGGUGGAGGUAGAGAACGGAGAGGAAGAGGAGGAAGAGGCACAAACAGGCCAGGUGUCCUCCAGAGAGUGUGCCAUCAUGUGAAGUCUUCAUGUCCUGUCGCUGGCCUUGACUUCCACAUUAUAUCUUUUUUUUCUCCAGAGCCACUCAGAUGUGAUCCUGGUCAUUGCCUCAUCAUUUGAUGUUCUUUAUUGUUCAAGACGAUAUUAGAAUUUUUUGGACUAAUGGAAUGUUUCUACUACUCCACAUUUCUGGACCUGCUUUAAUAGGAGUCAUUUCUAUAAAACAAUACAUGUUUAUGUAUCAUGCAAACAUUGAGUCAUACUGUGGUGAGGUAACUGAAUAUUCCCACCCCUACUAACAUUACUCUACUUCCACUGGCUGUCUUUCACUCUUCCUCAGUAAGCCUUUUGGUUUCAUCCUUAAUGAAGAGUACAACAGCCUAUAAAGAACCUGCCAUAUUUUCAACAUAAGGGACCUCCACUGUAUAGCUUCAAAAUCAAGACCAAGUGUUUCCCAUCUAUAAUAUUUAUUUGUGUGGUUACCCAGUUAGGUUUUGCCCCUCUUAACAUUUUCCUCUGUACUUUCUAUUGAUAUCUUUUUUUGAAAGAGCUGAAUGGGAAUGCAGAUGAAACUGGGUUGGUUGGAAAAACCUGUGGAAAUUCUGCAUUAAUGUGUGAUUUUGGGGGAAAACUGAUUUACCCCAAUCAAACGUUAGCCUGUGAAUCCACUGCUGGUUUGCAACCAGUUGUCAAGUGUUGGACUUAAGAAUUCAGACCACCACAAAUGAAGUCCAGACCUUUGGGUCAGACCCCCCCGCUUCAUCUCGGUCCUCCAUGCUUCUCCUCUUCUUUGUUUCUUCAAAGAUAGCUACAAUGAAAUGUGAUAGUUGAUCUGAUCUCAGUCUUACUUGGGGUGAGUCAGCAGCAGUGACCAGUUAACAUCAGAUUCUUCUGAACAGUACACUAUGUAUAUGUGAAUGAAAACCUUUAAUGCACACUAAAAAUCUGGAGUCCUGCGACAAAUAGUUGAUGUGUAACAAUUACUGAAAUGCAUGUAAGCACACUGCAGAGUGUAGAGAUGAACCUGUGACAGCAUCAAAGACCUGUAACAUCAUUAGAUUUCACAGCCAUAGACGUGUUCGCUCUGUUAUAAUAAGAGUCGUGAUGCAGCAACAUUGCUGGUCUUAAAACACUGAGUGACCAACGUGUGGCUGCACUUGUACCUGCUGCAUGUGGGUUUGGUGUGUUGAUCCCAGUUAAAAGAAACGCCAUCUUGACUGGCUUCAUCAGUGUGAAAUAUUAAACUGACGGAACAUUUAAGUAAACACAAGGUAAACGGUGAAAGCAACACUUCUAUGAGGUGAUGUUCAGAUUAUCCCCAGCUGUAUCCUCGUGUUGUUUUUGCAGUACAUUGUACAAGAGUUGCUGUUAUUGUUUACACAGCUUGUGUGCCAUCUUGGGAAACUCAAAUUUUUUUCUUGUGUGUUUGUAUGCUGUGCUUUAUAUUACUAGUUAAGUUUCUAUAGAGCUUUUGUCAAUGUAAUCUGUUUACAUGAAAUAUUAUUAUGUUGUGUUUAGGACCUCUGGGGUGAUUAAGGUUGGGUGUUUGUGAUCUGAAAAGAAGGGUAAGGAUAGAAUGUGAUAACAUUGAACACUCCUAUAGUCUUUACAUGGUAAGAGAAGGAUAUGAAAACAAUUGAGUUUCAUAAGUGACUGACUGAACAUCUGAAUUAGAUGAAGUCAGGCAGUGUGAUGUGAUUUAAGUCUUUGAUAUGUGAUGGACUUGGUCCAGUCUUUUGAUUUAACCCUCCUAUAUUUUUAAGGAGUUGCAAUAAAAACAAUCCCCAACAGUGUCACAAAAAGUGGCCAAACUGCCAAAGCUACUUUGACCUGUAACUCCAAGUUUAAUGUAGAAUUAAAUAUUGUUUAGAGCCUCUUAAUCAAGAUCCAAUCUUAUCAAAAGUUACUUCUGAAGUACAUGAAAAGUUGUUGUUUGGAAGCAAUUGUUGCGUAUUAGUAUGCAUGAGCAUCAGUUUGUUCUUUAAACAACACAUUUUGUAACAGAUUUGCGGAAAUAAUGAAUUACCAAUGAACUGAAAUGUUACGUUUCAGUCAGGUGAAAUGAAAAAAGCUCAGCUCUGAAUGAAUACUGAACAGAAGCACCCAAGCUUUAAUCACUGGAGAGACCUGGUGUUCAUGUAAGUGGGGUUGGGGUUGAAUUAUUCAUUCAUAAUCAACUGUUGUUGUUGAACUACUUUUUGUA
Epinephelus fuscoguttatus (brown-marbled grouper) is the source of this 3223-nucleotide long non-coding RNA. RefSeq lists it as uncharacterized. The transcript has 6 exons. NCBI's taxonomy places the organism in Eukaryota, Metazoa, Chordata, Actinopteri, Perciformes, Serranidae. The record is from RefSeq and is a predicted model, not a curated record.